CUAUACAUGACUCUGCGCAUAUCAAUAAGCGGAGGAAAAGAAACUAACAAGGAUUCCCUAGUAACGGCGAGUGAAGCGGGAAGAGCUCAAAUUUGAAAUCUUCAAGGUUCUACCUUGACGAAUUGUAGUUUAUAGAAGUGUUUUCUGUUAGUAGAGUGGCAAAAGUUCUUUGGAAUAGGACAUCAUAGAGGGUGAGAAUCCCGUAUUUGGUCAUUCUUUCUAGCUUUGUGAUACACUUUCAACGAGUCGGAUUGUUUGGGAAUGCAGUCCAAAAUGGGUGGUAAAUUUCAUCUAAAGCUAAAUAUUGGCGAGAGACCGAUAGCGAACAAGUACCGUGAGGGAAAGAUGAAAAGAGCUUUGAAAAGAGAUGUUAAACAGUACGUGAAAUUGUCAAAAGGGAAGCGUUUGACACCAGUGUUGUUUUUCCGAAAAUCAAUUACUGAAUGGUUUGAUUUUGAGAGUUAUGACCUUCAAUCGCUUGCUUCUCUCUUUACUGACUUUCGUAAUGCACUUUUCAGUUAACAAGUCAACAUCAAUUUCUUUUGUUGUAAAAGGGUAUGAGGAAGGUGGCUUUCUUUUCGGAGAAAGUGUUUAUAGCCUUGUACCUCUGCAGUCGGAGAGAUUGAGGUCUGCAGCGUAGAUCCUUCGGGGUUAGAUAGCAUUUGUGCUAAGUUAUAGCCUUUCAUAGACAACUUGUUGACUAUGAUUAAGUCAUUGUAGCUUACUCGCUUAUGUCUAUUUUACCUACGCUUAGGAUGUUGAUAUGCAUGACUGAUAU
RNAcentral lists this ribosomal RNA (778 nucleotides) under uncultured Neocallimastigales. RNAcentral describes it as "partial large subunit ribosomal RNA". It matches the Rfam family "Eukaryotic large subunit ribosomal RNA", at positions 22 to 629 of the family's 3401-position model. The record is from RNAcentral. Lineage: Eukaryota; Fungi; Neocallimastigomycota; Neocallimastigomycetes; Neocallimastigales.